AUUUAUGUGAGAAGUUUUUUUAAAAACUUGAACCUAUGCUUUUCAUGCUUCACUUGUGAUCUUUCCAAAGCAACAUGAGGGUUGUGUGUCCCAGCCUAAGGUUUAUAAACAAACACACACAGAGACUCCAACUGUCACGAUCCUUUCAUGCAAGAAGUGGAUCAUUGAUCCCGGGAUCAAAUGUAGUCUGUUCCUCAUGACUCCAAGCGGCAUCUGUAAUCCCUGAUUUCUUCUAUAUUUCUCAUGGCGGGGACUCAGCGCUCUGCAUCCAUGCUCACACUUCAAAGCAUUCCUUUCAUGUGUGUUUUGAGUAAGUAUGUGAAUAUCACUUGCAUACGUGUUGCAGUGGUGGCAUUGUUGACAGAAUCAGAGGUAGGCAUAAGGUUGUGGCAGUCAAUAAAAAUAUAGAAAACACUGCACUGCACUUUGUAAAUGUUAAAUAAGCAAUUAAAGACUCAAAAGAAUGCAUUGCUUGGUUUAGAGUCAAAGACUGAAUCUAAUUAGCUUGAUGAGAGACAACAUAUGCUUGUAAGCAGUCAUACUGACUGUACUGCAGCAUAUUGUGAAAUCUAACCUGAUGUUUUUCUGAUCAGCUACAAUGAGGUAAAGAAGGCCCAGAAGACGCAAUGACCAGUUGCCCUACAAUGUUUGCAAAAGAUCAAAAGAGCCUGCUGAACACCAUUUUGAUCCUGAUCCUUUGUGCUCAAGGUGGCUCCAUCCAGAAACCUGCAAGUCAGCAAUGUGAACCAUUUCCAGUACCGUCGUGCUUGGUAUGCAGACAUGUUUUCUAGCAUGAUUGGUUUAAAAUGUAUGUGCAUUUAUUUCUGCAUACGUCGCUGAUGCAUAUGCCAAUAUAUUAAAGCACUCCAGAGGAAAGGAUUGGAUCUAACCUUAACCCAUUAGACAGAGAAAAAUACAGCAUGUCAUGACAGAUUACCGUCAAAAGGGCAAGCAAGACAGCACUUUUCUUUCAGUGCUAAAGACGGGCUAAAUAGCAACAAGGGGGGAAAAUAUAAGAAAAUCUGUAGUCCGCUUAGGCCCUAGCCCAUCGGCCCUAAACAGACAACUGUGGUUAAGCCAUUUUCAAGCUCUAAUCUUUUAAUAAGAUUAUAAAAUAGUGAAAUAUGUUUACGCAUUACUAGUCAUAAUUACAUGUCUUGUCAUAUUUGAGGAACUGAUAAAUAUGCCCUGAGUCCACAAUCUUACAUAUUAAUUUGAAUUUGUGCUUAAUGUGCAUAAUUGAUUGUAUGGCGUGGUAAAUAGAAAAAAAAAAAGUAAAAAAAAUAAAAAAUAGGAACAAGACUGCAUGUCUUAUAGCAGCAUGUGGACAGUGAUACAGUAUAUGAAAAAUUCAGUGUUAGUAAUUACUUUCUAAUUUUUCUAUAUCUCUCUAUAUCAAUCUAUCUAUACAUAGUAUGUAUUAAAAUGCAGCGGUGGCUUUACAGUAGCACAUUACAGGCCUAAAACUGCACAAUAAUCCUCUUUAUUAAAAUAACUGUAGUGAAGCAGUAAUUCACACCAAUUCCCAACUGUUUGUGUGUACUGUAUAUUCCAUUAAUUAAGCAAGCUAUAGCUUACUCUACAGUUAAAUCACUUUGACUGUCUGACUUGAGAUAUUGUUUCUGCUCUUUAGAUGUAGAGCAAGUACACAGCAUAGAGUGCACCUGUCAGAAACGCAGGGGCUA
Long non-coding RNA from Cyprinus carpio (common carp), 1685 nucleotides. RefSeq lists it as uncharacterized. The record is from RefSeq and is a predicted model, not a curated record. Lineage: Eukaryota; Metazoa; Chordata; Actinopteri; Cypriniformes; Cyprinidae. The transcript is spliced from 3 exons.